GCUUUGUCUUUUUGAAGCUUGGAUGUGAAGGCUUGCUGGCGUUUUUAAAUGUCCAGCUCCUUUGAAAAGUAUUAGUGAACCCGCUUGUGUUCAUCCUUAGUGUGAUAAUUAUCUACGCUACGGUCUUUGAAUGCAUGCUCAUUAGAAUCUUCGAGCUGUUUUUAUUUACAGUCUCGGUGUGGAGAGUUGCAUGCAUUUGCUCUUUCUGUCUUUUGAGUCAGGAUUGUUUGCUUAAAACCGUCUAUGUUAUUGUAGACAAUUUUGAACCAUUUGACCUCAAAUCAGGUAGGACUACCCGCUGAACUUAA
Molecule: ribosomal RNA, 308 nt
Filed under: Agaricales sp.
Lineage: Eukaryota; Fungi; Basidiomycota; Agaricomycetes; Agaricales
Description: eukaryotic LSU rRNA
Source: RNAcentral